RNAcentral lists this ribosomal RNA (253 nucleotides) under uncultured bacterium. RNAcentral describes it as "partial 16S ribosomal RNA". It matches the Rfam family "Bacterial small subunit ribosomal RNA", at positions 524 to 776 of the family's 1533-position model. The record is from RNAcentral.
CACGUAGGGCGCAAGCGUUGUCCGGAAUUAUUGGGCGUAAAGAGCUCGUAGGCGGUCUGUUGCGUCCGCUGUGAAAACCCGGGGCUUAACCCUGGGCUGGCAGUGGAUACGGACAGACUAGAGGUAGGUAGGGGAGAAUGGAAUUCCCGGUGUAGCGGUGAAAUGCGCAGAUAUCGGGAGGAACACCGGUGGCGAAGGCGGUUCUCUGGGCAUGAUCUGACGCUGAGGAGCGAAAGUGUGGGGAGCGAACAGG